GGGUUGUGAGGUUAAGCGACUAAGCGUACACGGUGGAUGCCCUGGCAGUCAGAGGCGAUGAAGGACGUGCUAAUCUGCGAUAAGCGUCGGUAAGGUGAUAUGAACCGUUAUAACCGGCGAUUUCCGAAUGGGGAAACCCAGUGUGUUUCGACACACUAUCAUUAACUGAAUCCAUAGGUUAAUGAGGCGAACCGGGGGAACUGAAACAUCUAAGUACCCCGAGGAAAAGAAAUCAACCGAGAUUCCCCCAGUAGCGGCGAGCGAACGGGGAGCAGCCCAGAGCCUGAAUCAGUGUGUGUGUUAGUGGAAGCGUCUGGAAAGGCGCGCGAUACAGGGUGACAGCCCCGUACACAAAAAUGCACAUGCUGUGAGCUCGAUGAGUAGGGCGGGACACGUGGUAUCCUGUCUGAAUAUGGGGGGACCAUCCUCCAAGGCUAAAUACUCCUGACUGACCGAUAGUGAACCAGUACCGUGAGGGAAAGGCGAAAAGAACCCCGGCGAGGGGAGUGAAAAAGAACCUGAAACCGUGUACGUACAAGCAGUGGGAGCACGCUUAGGCGUGUGACUGCGUACCUUUUGUAUAAUGGGUCAGCGACUUAUAUUCUGUAGCAAGGUUAACCGAAUAGGGGAGCCGAAGGGAAACCGAGUCUUAACUGGGCGUUAAGUUGCAGGGUAUAGACCCGAAACCCGGUGAUCUAGCCAUGGGCAGGUUGAAGGUUGGGUAACACUAACUGGAGGACCGAACCGACUAAUGUUGAAAAAUUAGCGGAUGACUUGUGGCUGGGGGUGAAAGGCCAAUCAAACCGGGAGAUAGCUGGUUCUCCCCGAAAGCUAUUUAGGUAGCGCCUCGUGAAUUCAUCUCCGGGGGUAGAGCACUGUUUCGGCAAGGGGGUCAUCCCGACUUACCAACCCGAUGCAAACUGCGAAUACCGGAGAAUGUUAUCACGGGAGACACACGGCGGGUGCUAACGUCCGUCGUGAAGAGGGAAACAACCCAGACCGCCAGCUAAGGUCCCAAAGUCAUGGUUAAGUGGGAAACGAUGUGGGAAGGCCCAGACAGCCAGGAUGUUGGCUUAGAAGCAGCCAUCAUUUAAAGAAAGCGUAAUAGCUCACUGGUCGAGUCGGCCUGCGCGGAAGAUGUAACGGGGCUAAACCAUGCACCGAAGCUGCGGCAGCGACGCUGAUGCGUUGUUGGGUAGGGGAGCGUUCUGUAAGCCUGUGAAGGUGUGCUGUGAGGCAUGCUGGAGGUAUCAGAAGUGCGAAUGCUGACAUAAGUAACGAUAAAGCGGGUGAAAAGCCCGCUCGCCGGAAGACCAAGGGUUCCUGUCCAACGUUAAUCGGGGCAGGGUGAGUCGACCCCUAAGGCGAGGCCGAAAGGCGUAGUCGAUGGGAAACAGGUUAAUAUUCCUGUACUUGGUGUUACUGCGAAGGGGGGACGGAGAAGGCUAUGUUGGCCGGGCGACGGUUGUCCCGGUUUAAGCGUGUAGGCUGGUUUUCCAGGCAAAUCCGGAAAAUCAAGGCUGAGGCGUGAUGACGAGGCACUACGGUGCUGAAGCAACAAAUGCCCUGCUUCCAGGAAAAGCCUCUAAGCAUCAGGUAACAUCAAAUCGUACCCCAAACCGACACAGGUGGUCAGGUAGAGAAUACCAAGGCGCUUGAGAGAACUCGGGUGAAGGAACUAGGCAAAAUGGUGCCGUAACUUCGGGAGAAGGCACGCUGAUAUGUAGGUGAAGUCCCUCGCGGAUGGAGCUGAAAUCAGUCGAAGAUACCAGCUGGCUGCAACUGUUUAUUAAAAACACAGCACUGUGCAAACACGAAAGUGGACGUAUACGGUGUGACGCCUGCCCGGUGCCGGAAGGUUAAUUGAUGGGGUUAGCGCAAGCGAAGCUCUUGAUCGAAGCCCCGGUAAACGGCGGCCGUAACUAUAACGGUCCUAAGGUAGCGAAAUUCCUUGUCGGGUAAGUUCCGACCUGCACGAAUGGCGUAAUGAUGGCCAGGCUGUCUCCACCCGAGACUCAGUGAAAUUGAACUCGCUGUGAAGAUGCAGUGUACCCGCGGCAAGACGGAAAGACCCCGUGAACCUUUACUAUAGCUUGACACUGAACAUUGAGCCUUGAUGUGUAGGAUAGGUGGGAGGCUUUGAAGUGUGGACGCCAGUCUGCAUGGAGCCGACCUUGAAAUACCACCCUUUAAUGUUUGAUGUUCUAACGUUGACCCGUGAUCCGGGUUGCGGACAGUGUCUGGUGGGUAGUUUGACUGGGGCGGUCUCCUCCUAAAGAGUAACGGAGGAGCACGAAGGUUGGCUAAUCCUGGUCGGACAUCAGGAGGUUAGUGCAAUGGCAUAAGCCAGCUUGACUGCGAGCGUGACGGCGCGAGCAGGUGCGAAAGCAGGUCAUAGUGAUCCGGUGGUUCUGAAUGGAAGGGCCAUCGCUCAACGGAUAAAAGGUACUCCGGGGAUAACAGGCUGAUACCGCCCAAGAGUUCAUAUCGACGGCGGUGUUUGGCACCUCGAUGUCGGCUCAUCACAUCCUGGGGCUGAAGUAGGUCCCAAGGGUAUGGCUGUUCGCCAUUUAAAGUGGUACGCGAGCUGGGUUUAGAACGUCGUGAGACAGUUCGGUCCCUAUCUGCCGUGGGCGCUGGAGAACUGAGGGGGGCUGCUCCUAGUACGAGAGGACCGGAGUGGACGCAUCACUGGUGUUCGGGUUGUCAUGCCAAUGGCACUGCCCGGUAGCUAAAUGCGGAAGAGAUAAGUGCUGAAAGCAUCUAAGCACGAAACUUGCCCCGAGAUGAGUUCUCCCUGACUCCUUGAGAGUCCUGAAGGAACGUUGAAGACGACGACGUUGAUAGGCCGGGUGUGUAAGCGCAGCGAUGCGUUGAGCUAACCGGUACUAAUGAACCGUGAGGCUUAACCUUACAACGCCGAAGGUGUUU
RNAcentral lists this ribosomal RNA (2931 nucleotides) under Escherichia coli. Its description in RNAcentral is "bacterial LSU rRNA". It matches the Rfam family "Bacterial large subunit ribosomal RNA". The record is from RNAcentral. Lineage: Bacteria; Pseudomonadati; Pseudomonadota; Gammaproteobacteria; Enterobacterales; Enterobacteriaceae.